Long non-coding RNA from Lycium ferocissimum, 268 nucleotides. RefSeq lists it as uncharacterized. Lineage: Eukaryota; Viridiplantae; Streptophyta; Magnoliopsida; Solanales; Solanaceae. The transcript is spliced from 2 exons. The record is from RefSeq and is a predicted model, not a curated record.
UCCAUAAUUUUCUUCUAGAUUUAAAAAAGAUAGUUUUCUGGUUUUUUUUCAAACACAAUUUUUCCAUAAAAAAUUUAAUUUUUUCAUAUUUUUAUAAAAAUCCAAUUUUUCACAUUUUGAAAAGAAAAAAAUUAGUGUUGUCCGUUAGUCAAGGUUUUACUCGUUAAAAUUUUUUUUUCCAAAUUUUAAAAAAUUCCACAUGUUUUAAUUUCUUUUUAAAAGAAUAAAUCAAUUUUUCAAUAAUAAAAUGUCAUGUGCAAUUUAUUUU